CUUUCUAUUAUUCUUUUUCUACCACCACAAGGCUUCUUCACAUAUCUAAUGGAGAUCUACACACCGAUGGUUUAAUCAAUACCAGAUCUUUAAAGAAUUGAUGGAGAUCUGCACUCUGAUGGUGGUUUUGUGGGGCAAAAAGUACUUGAAUCACUAAGAAGAAGAGCAAGGAUAAUGACUGGCGGAUUCAACUGUUGCAGGAAUGUUGUUUGUAAUUUCAAAGAAGGUGCCAUGUAUUUAUUCCCUUAAAUUUGAUUGCCACCAAAAGCUUUAGAGAUUCCUCAAUAAGGUGGAAAUGUUGCA
Molecule: long non-coding RNA, 303 nt
Organism: Vicia villosa (hairy vetch)
Lineage: Eukaryota; Viridiplantae; Streptophyta; Magnoliopsida; Fabales; Fabaceae
Exons: 3
Source: RefSeq, a predicted model, not a curated record